Mastomys coucha (southern multimammate mouse) is the source of this 459-nucleotide long non-coding RNA. RefSeq lists it as uncharacterized. Lineage: Eukaryota; Metazoa; Chordata; Mammalia; Rodentia; Muridae. The transcript is spliced from 2 exons. The record is from RefSeq and is a predicted model, not a curated record.
ACUGCCAACAGCACAGGCUCUCUCUCAUCUCAGAGUGAGCUGGCUUCUCUGCCCUGAUCCUGAGCUGGGAGACCACAUGGAACCACACACUUACAGUAGGUGGCCCAUGGAAUGAGCUGGGGAAGACCAGCCAAUGCUGAGCAGAGCAUCAGAAACACAGAAGAACUGGGAUACAACGGGGAGGACCAGUGUUGAGAAGGCUGGCACCUGCAGGAGCAUCCCUGGAGAGCACUUCUGGGGGGCAUCCCUGGAGGGCACCCAUGGAGAGCACUCCUGCCUGUAGGGCACCCAUGGAGGGCACCCAUGGAGGGCAUCCCUGGAGGGCACUCCUGGAGAGUACACAUGGAGAGCACUUCUGGGGGGGGGGGCACCCAUGGAGGGCUGCUAGAAGAUUUAAAUGUCAGCUUGGGGCUCAUAGACUUUGAGAUCAACUUUCUGACUACAAAUCCUGCCUCACUC